Molecule: long non-coding RNA, 6842 nt
Organism: Mytilus californianus (California mussel)
Lineage: Eukaryota; Metazoa; Mollusca; Bivalvia; Mytilida; Mytilidae
Exons: 9
Source: RefSeq, a predicted model, not a curated record
GCAGUGAAAUGUGAUGAUUCUUAUCCUGUGCUGAGGCUAAUGGCAGACAUGGGGCUGUCCUUUGAUUGUGCAAGCAAGAUUGAAAUACAGAAAAUUCUGGAUGUUGGGUUGAUCCGACCAGAAUAAUCUAUGCCAACCCAUAUAAGCAGUUAUCAUUUUUUAGAUAUGCCUCUGAUAAUGACGUAGCUAUGAUUGCAUUUGAUUGUGAGGAUGAACUAGAAAAGAUCAAAGAAGUAUAUCAUGCCGCAAAGUAUUAAGGCAUAAACUUGAUGUUAUACAUUUAUAUUCAUUGUGGAGUCAAUGUCCUUUUGAUUAUGAUGGUCUCAAAUAUUGUAUUGAUUUUGAUUAAAAUACUGUCAGUCGCGACCAUAGCUGACAAGUUACUGCCAUAGGGUCUAUGCCACUGCUAAUAGACUGUCAAUCUGCACUGAAAUCAUCUGCUUAGUAGACAGUGCUUCACUAUUUACUUGAUUUGACUGAUGCUCUUUGAUUGUGUAACUAUACUGAAACAAACGUUAUACAUCCCUCAGGCAAAGUAGACAUCUAACGAUUAUUGCUGUUCUGUUAAGGUAUUUUUGCUCUGCUGCUUGUGAAUUCGCCUUUCUACUUUGUUUUUCUGAGACGUAUCUGAUAAAAAUUAUUUUAUAAAAACGUAUCAGAAUUAUAAUUUUAUACAAUGUCAUGAUGCAAACUACUUUACCGAAAUGACUUAUAUUUUGUUCUGACUGGUAAAUACAGUUAAAAUCGUAAAAAAAAGAGGACCAAUUCCUCUGUUCUAGGAGAAAUAAGAUAGAGAAGCUUCAUGCUAUGAAACUGUCAACCUGUUCGUGACCAUUAUUAUCAAAAAUAGUAUACAUUGAUGAUACUUCAAAAAAUCAAUAAACGUGAGUGAUAUAUGAUAUAAAAAUGACACAUCCCAUAUUUUGUUUGGUAACAAUCGUCUCGUUGCUAUUGACUAGAAUUUCUUGUUUCUCCAACUGGUCAACACUUUCUAGCUAUAUUAGAACGUUCAUGAUCAAAUUAGUUUCAGCAAUUACAAAAUUUAUUCCAAGAAAUCUCAAACAUUCGAAAUGGGUAUACACAAAUGAAAAAAUGCAGGAAUGAUGUCUCAUUGAUAUAUACCCAACAUCCCCUUUAUUCAAUUAAUUACUAAAAUAAUUUGGUAGAACACAUCACAUAGAUAUAAGUUAUAUUUCUAAUAUAAAAAGGUACAAGGUGUAGGGUUCUUGUUCUCCCGCUGUGUUAUACCUGAUGUUUGCAAUGACUUGGUAUAUUAAUUUUGUAAACUUGGCAUUUUAUGUCACUGUUAUCUAACAUGUUUAUUUCAUGAUUUAAAGACUGAUAUUACGAAUAUGUCCACAAUAAAAUCACAAGGUAAAACAUCCUUUAAAAAGAAAAGUUCGGAUGUCAUCCUUUGAAAGCAUCACAGCUGCUUCAAUUUGCAAAGACACUGCAAUUAACCGUAAUUGGUGAAAGGUAAUAUAUUUUUAUUGCUAUAGAUCUCUCCACUUGAAUUUGUUUUUGUUGUGGUUAAACUCUCAAAUCAUCAUGUGGAAAAUAUAACUACAAUCAAAGAUUUUAUUUUGUUCAAAUUAAAUGUCAGUGAUACUGCAUACAAUUACCUUUACAUGCAUGUAUUAUCCAGAAUAUUCACCGCCACAAUCCAUAUUACAUAAUUUAGUAAUAAAAUAUACACGUCUGUAGUAUUAAGAACUAAUAUUAGAUAAGUCAGGCAUAUAACUUGACACAAUGGUCAUGCGUAACAAUAUAAAGUCACGCGAGUCAGGUGUUUCACAACAGUAUGUAUCCGUUACAGAUGUGUGUUAAACGACAAGUUUCAGGUUCAAGCGGAUUUUUAAUGAAUAUAAGAUUGAGGAAAUUAAGCUUCGUUAUGUCAUUAGCAUUUGUGGCAUUAUUUGUUGUGACCAUAAGGUCUUGUCACACUGUUUGCACUAUCAAUUCAUUUGUUGUAUCAAAUGCCAGAUACAAGCAUAUACUAUUCCUUCGAAUAUUUGGUUGGAUUAUAGACGCUUGUUGAUGCUUUAUUCAUAAAUGCAUCGAGUAUACGGCUAUCUUACUAUACACUUUGUACGUGCUUCCAAUAUGAACAUCAUUUCAAAAUUUAAACAAGACGUCAGGCAUAGUUUCAUAUCUACAUUUUUAACCUUUUUCUAGAAAAUGUGUAGUCUAUUUGUAAUAGUUCAGGAUGUGUUGUGUCUUUUUGGAGAUAUCAUUUCAAGCGAAUCGAAGAAUUAAGGGCAGGUGGAUAUGAAUAAAGAUUUAUUUCUUUUCAGGACGACGACGAAAAGGUAUAUGAUAUCACUAUAAGGGGACCGACGUGUGAUGCUGUAGAUUUAAUUAUAGAAAACAUCAAACUAUCGGACUUAAAAAGAGGAGAGUGGAUUUUCUUCAAGAAUAUGGGAGCAUAUGCAUUCCAAUGUGUGACGCGUAUGAAAAAAGCGAAUAAAAGGAUGCUACGAUCAUUCUAAAUUUAAACAGUGAGGUGUGAGCUUUUGAAUCAUAAUAAAUUGAAAUUUGCUGUAACAGUUAUAAAAUUUUAUAAAUCAAUUCGAAUUAAGGAAUAUCUCUUUCUCAUAUAAAGCUCCUUGUACACAUUUGGCUAUACUUAUGAUCAGCUCUUCAAUGUUUUAUAAAGUUUUGGAAUUUCAAAUAUUUUGCCCUCGACUAUCACCAAAGAGAAAUUAUUCGCUGAAAGAUGCAUAUUAUACAGUGAAAUUGGUACCUUUAUCGUUAUUAAUAUCAAUUCUCUGUAAAUAUAAAAAUGAGCUGGCCAUCAUAUGAUACAGAAUUUCACCAAAUUUGACCUUAAUACAUUUUAUGUUUCAAUUUUCAAAACAAAAAUAUUUGUCACUCCAUAAUCAUAAUGUGUCACCCUGUUGUUGCCAUGGAAACAUGACUUUUCAGAUAAAAAUAAAGGUAAUUAAAAUCUUGUUAAAUUUUUGUUUGUAGACUGCUUAAUGUCAUGAAAAAUUUUCUUCAAGCUUAUUUUAAUUUGUCAAAAGAUUUAAUUGGCCAAUAUGCAGAUUUAUCAAGGUUUUCUACUUUUUAAAGAAUUUAGUGGUCCAUAUAUCCUUAAAAUCUGUGGAUGUUUUCAUUCCUUUCCACACUAACUUCAAAGUAUAAUGUGACUUCAAUAUAAUCUAUACCAUAUAAAUAACCAAAUAAACUUGUAAAUUGAAUGGGAUAUUCAAGCAUUUCCUUAAGAAAAGUAUCAAGAAAAUAUUCAUUAUUCAUUAUUGAGAAUAUAGAGUUAUCUCCUCUGACAGAACUAUUCUGAUAUAAAAGCACACAUGGUGUACACAGGAAUUAUACACAAAUGGAAAAAAUUUGCAGACAACAGUGAUCAGUGAUCAACAGGGUGUUAAAACAUUAUGGUCAGUAAAUAACCAUGUCCCUUUGUAGCUUUAAAAGCUCACAGAUAUGUGAAUGCGCAGGUGAAAAUACCACACUGACUUCUUUGUCAUCAGCAUUGCAGUCCAUUAUUCUUACUGAGGCUGGUCUACUGCGAAGUGAUAUUACACAGAAGUUUCAAGUGUGCAGUGAACAUUUUCACAGGUUUUUGAAUCAAAACAAAGCAGGAUGUAAAUCUAAAAUAUGUGGGAUACCUGAUAUAAUUUCGUCUCAUUACAAAGACAAUAAAAUAUAUGGAGGAUGGUAUGGGGUAAAGGCAGACAGAAAUGUAUCUUUGGAAAAUGUGAGAGAGAUUCAUGCUAGAACAGGAAUAAUAUUUCCAGGUGGAACUCCAAUAUGUCCAAUAUGCAGAAAGACCCUUUAUUGUAGGCAAUCCAAUUUGUGUAGCCUGGCUGAAAAUUUUUCAAAUAAAAAUUGUUUGAUGAACAGUGACAACCUUGGUGAUACAUGUAGCUUUCAAUAUGAAGAACAGUAUAAUCUCAGACCUCAUCGACUUACUAGUGGUUAUAAUGUACAUAUCAUCAUCCAUAGCAGACCACUGUUGUUCAUAUGCUUUGAGUGAAGAAGAGGGACCCUUCUGCCAAAAAUGUGAUGACCAUUCACAUACUGAUGAAUGCCAACAGUGUUGUUUUGUUGAUGAAACAUUAUCUUUUAUUUUGAAGAGUGCAAUUGAAAGACACUGGGAUAAUCCUGAAGCUGUAAUCUUUAAGGUGGAAAAAGCAAUAGCCGAUAUUCAUGAAUGGAAGAGUCAUAUCCUUCGAUCAAAAAAUUAAGAAAAGGCAAGACAAUCUGUUGUGAACUGUCUCGGGGAAAAUGAGGCAUUCAUGGUAGCUGACUUGGCCAUGAAAUUUUUACCGCGAAAAUUUAGAGAGGGCCAGACAGAUUGGUUUGGAAAGAGAGGCAUUAAUUGGCACAUCACCGUUACUAUGUUAAAAACACAGGGAAGUGUGAAAUUUCUUACACAUGUGCAUAUAUUUGAACAACCCACCCCUCAAGAUGCAGCUACAACUGGAGCUAUUCUUGUCGAUGUGGUUCAAAAUAUUUCAUCUGUCAAAAAGGUCAACAUAUGGUCAGAUAAUGCUGGUUGCUGCAAAAGUACCUUGACCAUAGCCACUUUACAUCAAGAGCUAGGCAAGAAAAUAAAAUCCUACAAUUUUUGUGAGGCUCAGGAUGGGAAGGGCCCAUGUGACAGGAAGGCAUCCCAUAUCAAGUCAGCAAUUAAAAGACAUGUAAACGAGGGCAAUAAUGUGACAACUGCACACCAAAAUGAAACUGGCCAGUACAGGGUGAAAGUUAUAAGUCCUGUUAUUAAUGCUGAUGAUGAAAAGGUCUCACUGAGAAGUAUUCCAUUGAUUUCUAUGCUACACAAUUUUAAGUUUACCGAUAAUGGAUUGCAAGUUUGGAGAGCUUAUGAUAUUGGUCAAGGAAAGUUGAUAUCAUGGAACAGCAUUAUAAGAAAAUUGCUGUGAUACAUUCCCAGCUUGCUACAGUGGGUUCAGAAGUUGUUGACAGAGAAGAUGAUGAUGGUGAUGAUGAUGAAGAGGAUAAUAAUGAUGAUAAUGAUAAUAAUGAUGAAAAUACACAAAAUGAUAAUUAUGAUAAAGGUACAACAACUACAGAGCCAGUUCUUAAGAAGUGACGGACAAUAGCAAAAAUCUUUACUUGUCCUGAGGAAGGAUGUACACGUUCUUUUAAACAUUCAUCCUCAUUAGAUAAACACAUCUUGUUGGGUAACUGUAAUAUAAAGGAAGAAAAACUUAGCCUUGCAGAAAGAACAAAGGUUUUAUAUGCUCAGAAAUUGGAAGAUUGGAAUUUAGCAGUGUCAUUUACAAAACAACCUGCCAACAACAACAACACUGCUACUGACAAACUAAACAAAGGAUGGGCAUUAAAAGUGAACAAACCAAAAACAAUUUUCACACAAGACCAAAAGGCUUACUUGCAUGAAAAAUAUAUGAUUGGGAAAACAACUGGAAGAAAAAAGGAUCCAUCAAAAGUAGCUGAGGAGAUGCGAUAUGCCUUAAAAAAUGGAGAAAACAGGUUCUCUAGAUCCCAAUAUCUAACAUCACAACAAGUAGCUAGCUAUUUCUCAAGACUUGUGCAAAAAGAAAAGUAGAUAGAUGAAACAGAUUUAAUAGCUGCAACUGCAGACAGUAAAUGUUCGGUUUUGAAAAGGAACGUUUUGAAAGAAUGUUUUCUAUAAUUUUAGAAUAAGAUGAACAGGUUCAUAGUGAAAUAUCUGUGUUUUAUAAGUAUUUUUGAAAUACUUUAUUUUUUUUAAUAUUUCUAGUAACUGUAAAUUCAGAAAGUAAUGAGUGUAUUUAUUAUUGCAAAUCCCUGACCAGUGAUCUCUUAUUAAUGCGAUUGAAAUUUUUUUUGUGAAGGAAAAUCGCCACUGAAAAUGUGAAUGCGCAUUUAGGUAAUUGCAAACCUGAUUCUGACAUUUUUCACAUUUUUCGCAUUAAUAAAAACAUUCCAAUAAUUUCUGAAUUUCCAGUAUAUCUUUUAUAACACCUAUGCAUCAAAUACACAACCUUGAUCAUGACAUAACCCUGGUAGGCUAACUACCUUGAUUUUUAGGCAGGGAAGUGGCACUGAAAGAUAUAAAAAACUUAACCCCGAAAUUUAUACAUUAUGUCUCUCCCCUCCCCAUCCACCAGUUUGGUGGGGAGACAUAUUGUUUUUGGCUUAUUCGUCUGUCCGUCACAAAGUUUCUCAGCGCAACUCCUCUUCAACUACUAAACCGAAUUUUAUGAUGAAACUUGGUAUGUAGCAAGAACACCAUAUGUAGUUGUGCAUGUUAACAGGAAAUUUUGAUCCGUUAAUUUUUGUGGAAGUUAUGCCCCUUUGAACUUAGACAUUUUUCAAAAAUAGUCAUAAACUAGUUUGUCAUCGCAACUCCUCUUAAACUACUGAACCGAAUAGGAAACUUGUUAUGUAGCAAGGAAAUCAUAUGUAGUUGUGCAUACUACCGGGAAUUUUGAUCCGCUAAUUUCUGUUGAAGUUAUGCCCCUUUGAACUUAGAAAUUUGCCAAAAAUCAUCAUUAAUUAAUUUGUCAGCGCAACUCUUCUUAAACUACUGAACUGAGGUUGACGAAACUUGGUAUGUAGCAAGGACAAUGUACAUAAAGGUCAUGGAAUUUCCCACAAUUUUUUUUUUGGGGGGGGGGGGGGUUAUCCAACUAUAUAUCUUCUACAUAUAUUACCAUUAGUUUAAUUUCAAAUCAGUGUGCAAAGGUAAAAAAAUUCUAUUCAAAAUUGGCUCCCAAAGGGAAUUUUCUUGAUUUGGUAAAAUGCCAAACUUUGGAUAAAUAAAGUGUUGUUUUGAAUUAUGCAGAAUUAUUAUUAUGAAUAGUUUUCUAUAUGAUAUGAAACUUAAAAUACAGUACUUUAAGAUAAAUUACAGCAUA